UACGUAGGGACCAAGCGUUGUUCGGAUUCACUGGGCGUAAAGGGCGCGUAGGCGGCAAUUCAAGUCAGCUGUGAAAUCUCUGGGCUUAACCCAGAACGGCCAGCUGAUACUGCUUGGCUAGAGUGCAGAAGGGGCAAUCGGAAUUCUCGGUGUAGCGGUGAAAUGCGUAGAUAUCGUGAGGAAGACCAGUUGCGAAGGCGGAUCGCUGGGCAGUUCCUGACGCUGAGGCACGAAGGCCAGGGGAGCAAACGGG
This 253-nucleotide ribosomal RNA is filed under the name uncultured bacterium. Its description in RNAcentral is "partial 16S ribosomal RNA". It matches the Rfam family "Bacterial small subunit ribosomal RNA", at positions 524 to 776 of the family's 1533-position model. The record is from RNAcentral.